UCAGGAAUCUUGCGCAAUGGGGGAAACCCUGACGCAGCGACGCCGCGUGGGUGAUGAAAUCCUUCGGGAUGUAAAGCCCUUUUCUUGGGGAAGAAGGAUGUGACGGUACCCAAGGAAUAAGCCCCGGCUAACUACGUGCCAGCAGCCGCGGUAAUACGUAGGGGGCGAGCGUUGUCCGAAUUUACUGGGCGUAAAGCGCACGUAGGCGGCUUGCCAAGUCCGGUGUGAAAUCCCGAGGCUCAACCUCGGAAGUGCACUGGAAACUGGCUGGCUUGAGUGCAGGAGAGGAGAGUGGAAUUCCUGGUGUAGCGGUGAAAUGCGUAGAUAUCAGGAGGAACACCCGUGGCGAAGGCGGCUCUCUGGCCUGCGACUGACGCUGAGGUGCGAAAGCUAGGGGAGCGAACGGG
RNAcentral lists this ribosomal RNA (407 nucleotides) under uncultured bacterium. RNAcentral's name for it is "bacterial SSU rRNA". It matches the Rfam family "Bacterial small subunit ribosomal RNA", at positions 355 to 776 of the family's 1533-position model. The record is from RNAcentral.